This 468-nucleotide ribosomal RNA is filed under the name uncultured bacterium. Its description in RNAcentral is "partial 16S ribosomal RNA". It matches the Rfam family "Bacterial small subunit ribosomal RNA", at positions 28 to 507 of the family's 1533-position model. The record is from RNAcentral.
GACGAACGCUGGCGGCGUGCUUAACACAUGCAAGUCGAACGGAAAGGCCCUGCUUUUGUGGGGUGCUCGAGUGGCGAACGGGUGAGUAACACGUGAGUAACCUGCCCUUGACUUUGGGAUAACUUCAGGAAACUGGGGCUAAUACCGGAUAGGAGCUCCUGCUGCAUGGUGGGGGUUGGAAAGUUUCGGCGGUUGGGGAUGGACUCGCGGCUUAUCAGCUUGUUGGUGGGGUAGUGGCUUACCAAGGCUUUGACGGGUAGCCGGCCUGAGAGGGUGACCGGCCACAUUGGGACUGAGAUACGGCCCAGACUCCAACGGGAGGCAGCAGUGGGGAAUAUUGCACAGUGGGCGGGAGCCUGAUGCAGCAACGCCGCGUGCGGGAUGACGGCCUUCGGGUUGUGAACCGCUUUCGCCUGUGACGAAGCGUGAGUGACGGUAAUGGGUAAAGAAGCACCGGCUAACUACGUG